RNAcentral lists this ribosomal RNA (250 nucleotides) under uncultured bacterium. RNAcentral's name for it is "partial 16S ribosomal RNA". It matches the Rfam family "Bacterial small subunit ribosomal RNA", at positions 524 to 773 of the family's 1533-position model. The record is from RNAcentral.
UACGGGGGGUGCAAGCGUUGUUCGGAAUUAUUGGGCGUAAAGCGCGUGUAGGCGGUUUGUUAAGUCUGUUGUGAAAGCCCUGGGCUCAACCCAGGAAGUGCACUGGAUACUGGCAGACUUGAAUACGGGAGAGGGUAGUGGAAUUCCUGGUGUAGGAGUGAAAUCCGUAGAUAUCAGGAGGAACACCGGUGGCGAAGGCGGCUACCUGGACCGAUAUUGACGCUGAGACGCGAAAGCGUGGGUAGCAAAC